UAGAACCAGGACUCCAUGCCUGAAAUGCCCAAACAGCCUGACCCACUUUUCCCCCUUCCUCCAAAAACAAAGUACAAUUUCAGGAGCUGCAAUUGUCCUGGUUUUGUUGUUGCUGGAGUAGUUUAUCUCUAGAAUGAACACUCCCUGGGGACGGUUUUCCCGGUGUCUUCAUCCGGCACAAUGACUGGCACACACAAGGGUCACAGGACAAGCAUCUAAUAUUUGGGGAACAGUCCUGUGGGUGUGCAGGCAGUGCUGGCUGAACUGAUCUCAAUGAUUGUAGCUUGGAAGGGGCCUUCCUGGUCAUGUCCUCUGAUCUCCCACAAGAUGGAAUUCCCUCUGUCCCAACACUGAUACCGGGACCGCAAACAUGUUUGUUCUAAAGGGAUUUUUAAGUACCCUGGUCCUUAUAUCUUCGUGCUUCUCAGUGACAUGAA
Talpa occidentalis (Iberian mole) is the source of this 437-nucleotide long non-coding RNA. RefSeq lists it as uncharacterized. NCBI's taxonomy places the organism in Eukaryota, Metazoa, Chordata, Mammalia, Eulipotyphla, Talpidae. The record is from RefSeq and is a predicted model, not a curated record. The transcript has 3 exons.